This 497-nucleotide ribosomal RNA is filed under the name uncultured bacterium. RNAcentral describes it as "partial 16S ribosomal RNA". It matches the Rfam family "Bacterial small subunit ribosomal RNA", at positions 28 to 507 of the family's 1533-position model. The record is from RNAcentral.
GACGAACGCUGGCGGCGUGCCUAAUACAUGCAAGUUGAGCGCUGAAGGUUGGUACUUGUACCAACUGGAUGAGCAGCGAACGGGUGAGUAACGCGUGGGGAAUCUGCCUUUGAGCGGGGGACAACAUUUGGAAACGAAUGCUAAUACCGCAUAAAAACUUUAAACACAAGUUUUAAGUUUGAAAGAUGCAAUUGCAUCACUCAAAGAUGAUCCCGCGUUGUAUUAGCUAGUUGGUGAGGUAAAGGCUCACCAAGGCGAUGAUACAUAGCCGACCUGAGAGGGUGAUCGGCCACAUUGGGACUGGGACCCGGCCCAAACUCCUACGGGAGGCAGCAGUAGGGAAUCUUCGGCCAUGGACGAAAGUCUGACCGAGCAACGCCGCGUGAGUGAAGAAGGGUUUCGGAUCGUAAAACUCUGUUGGUAGAGAAGAACGUUGGUGAGAGUGGAAAGCUCAUCAAGUGACGGUAACUACCCAGAAAGGGACGGCUAACUACGUG